GGAUCGGUGGCCGAGUGGCUUAAGGCACACGCUUGGAAAGCGUGCAUACGGUCAAACGUAUCGGGGGUUCGAAUCCCCCCUGAUCCG
This 87-nucleotide transfer RNA is filed under the name Taylorella equigenitalis ATCC 35865. Its description in RNAcentral is "tRNA-Ser". It matches the Rfam family "tRNA". From Rfam's summary of the family: Transfer RNA (tRNA) molecules are approximately 80 nucleotides in length. Their secondary structure includes four short double-helical elements and three loops (D, anti-codon, and T loops). The record is from RNAcentral. RNAcentral also lists the same sequence under 3 other names. Lineage: Bacteria; Pseudomonadati; Pseudomonadota; Betaproteobacteria; Burkholderiales; Alcaligenaceae.